AACACUUCAAAAACCAUAAGGUGAUAUUAUGUAUAUUAUAUGUAAUAAAUACAAUUAUACCAUCUUCUUCUUCUUUCUUCUGCAUGAACAUCUUCUCUCUUCUUUCUUUUUUUCUUCCACUACCACCACAACCACCACUACCUUUAAAGCCAUUGUCGCCGGAAAAUCGUAUCCGAAGCCACCACCGCCGAAAAAUCGUCACCGGAGCCAUCAUCACCGGAAAAUCGUCACCGAAGCCAUCGUCACCAUUGUACUAUUCUAUUUUGCUGCUAGAUUUUUGAAAAUUGAAACUUGAGAUGAUUUCAUUUCGUUUAAUGAUUUUUGUUUGAGUUCCAUGUAUAGUAUCUUAAGGUUUAGUUUUCUUAGAUCAAUAUAUAUUUGUACUUAUCUUUUCGUUACCGGCACCGCCAUUGUCGUCACCAUCGCCACUGACACCGCCAUUGUUGCCGUCACCAUCACCACCAGCACCGCCACUGUUGUCGUCACCAUCGCCACCGGCACCGCCACUGUUGUCUCACUAUCGUCACCGGCACCGCCACUGUUAUCAUCACUAUUACCAUCGGCACCGCCACUGUUGUCGUCACCAUCACCAUCGGUACUGUCAUUGUUACUAUUACCAUCAUCGCCAUCUUCGCCACCAUCACGCUAGCCAACACUUUUGUCUUUUUAUGAAUGUCCAUUAACCGAAAAGAGUGUGAAAGAUCACGUCACUUUUCUUCUCUU
Arabidopsis thaliana (thale cress) is the source of this 723-nucleotide non-coding RNA. NCBI's taxonomy places the organism in Eukaryota, Viridiplantae, Streptophyta, Magnoliopsida, Brassicales, Brassicaceae. The record is from RefSeq.